Molecule: long non-coding RNA, 1276 nt
Organism: Zingiber officinale
Lineage: Eukaryota; Viridiplantae; Streptophyta; Magnoliopsida; Zingiberales; Zingiberaceae
Exons: 4
Source: RefSeq, a predicted model, not a curated record
CGUCUUGUGAUUUUCUACUCUCCUCGCAUGUUUCGUCGAGCUUGGGAACUGGUGCUACUUCAAUACCCAAAGAGGGCAAAAUGUCUAAUGUGCAUUUUUUAGUCCCGCAUCUUUAGUUUCUCUAAAUUUUUACUGUUUUUAUAGAAUUGUCGCGAAGCAGGAGUUGUCUCUUCGGAGACAUCCGAUAAAAUUGGAACGAUACAGAGAAGAUUAGCAUGGCCCCUGCUCAAGGAUGACACGCAUAAAUCGAGAAAUGGAAUGGAACAACAUUGAAGUGCACGGUCUGUGACCCGGUUAAGUAGAAUACUUAUUGAGGUGAGGAUGCUGAUGCUUGCAAGAGUGACAGAGUAAAGAAGCUUGCUGCUUUUCAAACAAAAGCUAAUCUGCAUGCACUCUCAUAUUUGUUCUUGUCUGAAAGAUGGAGAUGAUGUGCUGGUAGAUGGUUGCAAUGUUGAGGUAAAGACCUUCAGAUUGAAUCAAAAAGUAUGGGCUGAUGCACUAAGCUCCCUGGACACACUUAAUCGAGUCAACAGAAUGUCAAUGCCAAUAACCAGGGAAGGGGUCUCUGAUGAAGGCCCUCUGAUGUUCAAGUUGAUAUAUUGUCCGAGCUGAAAGUAGAACCAACGAAGGGGUCCUCGUGGUGACAACUCGAGGCACAAGCGAUACAAAUGACAAUAAGUCAGAUUUGAAUCAGAUUCUAUAUUCUCCAUCCUCAUACCCAUCAGAGAUCGAAUAUCAAUUUUCAUAUCCAUAUCCAUUGGGGAUCGGAUAUUCAUCCUCAUAUUUUCUAAUUGUGCUUUAACUCCAUUACUCGAGCACACUAAGAAUCAUAUGAAUUAGUCUAUUAGACAAAGAGUUGUUUGUAUUGGAGAUGGAUCAUCUUAUUGAUUGAUGAUGGAACAUCACUAGUGAUACACUAUCAGAGCAUCCACAUUGGUACAUUAUUAGAAUGUAACCCAUAUAUUGGUGUUAAAACCACUGUGACAUGGUGUUAAUGCCAAUGUGACUUUGAACACAUUCAAAACAUUUGUUUAUAUAAAAAAAGUUGCCAUCGACAACUCUCAAGCCCUGCACAGGACCUGAAACAACAAGCCCUACACAGGCCCUGCGCAAGACUUGAAACAUCAUAUCUUUCGCCUCUAUUUUUUCUUCCAGUGGAAUAAAAAUAGCUAGUAGAUCUACAACGGCUAGUAGAUCUACAACGGCGGAUAAAUUCAUAUAACAGCUAGUUAAUGGCUAUUUUAAUAAAAAAAAAUAAUUAAAAUUUCAUCUAUAA